Molecule: long non-coding RNA, 4505 nt
Organism: Passer domesticus (house sparrow)
Lineage: Eukaryota; Metazoa; Chordata; Aves; Passeriformes; Passeridae
Exons: 3
Source: RefSeq, a predicted model, not a curated record
CCUGUCCCUGUCCCUGUCCCUGUCCCUGUCCCUGUCCCUGUCCCCAUCCCGGGAGGGCCCAGCGGGGGUUGCUGCAGUGGCAGCGCCGCUCCCGGAGAAUUCCCGGAGAAUUCCCAGAGAAUUCCGUGCCACAGCCGGCUGGGCCAGCAGGCUUAGAGGACAAUUUGGGGACAAUCCGGGGACAAUUUGGGGACAAUUCGGGGAUUGGACAGAGGGGACAGAGAGGGAUGGAAAUGGGGACGUGGCACCAGGGGAGGGGACAGUGAGGGGACCAGAGAGAGGGGACAGAGAGGGACAGGAGAGGGAGAUGUGGCACCGGGAUGAGGGGACCAUGAGGGGACCAGAGAGAGGGGACAGAUGUGACAGAGACGGGGACGUGGCACUGGGUUCAGGGGACACUUCAGGGUCCAGAUGGAGAUGACAGAGAGGGACAGCAUGGGGACGUGGCACUGAGCUUAGGGGACAGAGAGGGACAGACACGGGGAUGUGGCACCGGGACUAGGGGACAAUUCAUGGUCCACACAGACGUGACAGGAUGGGGACGUGGCACCAGGUUCAAGGGACAAUGAGGAGACCUCACAGAGGUGACAGAGACGGGACGUGGCACCGGGAUUAGGGGACAGUGAGGGGACAAGGGACAGGAAGGGACAACAGAGGGAGAUGUGGCACCGGGAUUAGGGACAAUUCAGGGACCAGAGAGAGGUGACAGAGAGGGACAGGGUGGGGACGUGGCAGCGGGUGUAGGGGACAGUGAGGGACCACGCAGAGGGGACACAAGGUGGGGAUGUGGCACCGGGAUUAGGGACAAUUCAGGGACCAGAGGGGUGACAGGAAUUGGGAUGUGGCACCAGGGGAGGGGACAAUUCAGGGACCAGAUGGAGGUGACAGAGAUGGGGACGUGACACUGGGUUUAGGGGACAAUGAAGGACCACGCAGAGGAGACACAAGGUGGAGAUGUGGCACCGGGUGUAGGGGACAGUGAGGGAAUCACACAGAGGUGACAGAGAGGGACAGGAUGGGGAUGUGGCACUGGGCGUAGGGGACAGUGAGGGGACCAGGGAGAGGUGACAGAGACGGGACGUGGCAGUGGGUGAAGGGGACAAUGAGGGGACAAGGCACAAGGGACAGGAAGGGACAAGAGAGGAAGAUGUGGCACCGGGAUUAGGGGACAAUUCAGGGACCAGAGAGAGGUGACAGAGAGGGACAGACAUAGGGAUGUGACACCGGGUAUCGGGGACAAUUCAGGGACCACGCAGAGGGGACACAAGGUGGGGAUGUGACACCGGGUUUAGGGGACAAUUCAGGGACCUGAUGGAGGUGACAGAGAUGGGGACAUGGCACUGGCUUUAGGGGACAAUGAGGGGACCAGAGAGAGGGGACAGAGAGGGACAGACAUAGGGAUGUGACACCGGGUAUAGGGGACAAUUCAGGGACCACGCAGAGGGGACACAAGGUGGGGAUGUGGCACUAGCUUUAGGGGACAGUGAGGGGACCAGACAGAGGUGACAGAGAGGGACAGGAUGGGGACGUGGCACUGGCUUCAGGGGACAAUUCAGGGACCAGAGAGAGGGGACAGAGAGGGACAACAGAGGGAGAUGUGGCACCGGGAUGAGGGGACAAUCCAGGGACCACAGAGAGGUGACAGGAUGGGGACGUGGCACCGGGUGUAGGGGACAGUGAGGGGACCAGGGAGAGGUGACAGAGGUGACAGAAAUGGGGAUGUGGCACCGGGAUUAGGGGACCAUGAGGGGACCAGAGAGAGAGGGACAGGAUGGGGACGUGGCACGGGGGUUAAGGGACAAUGAGGGACCACAGAGAGGUGACAGAGAUGGGGAUGUGGCCCCAGGUUUAGGGGACAAUGAGGGGACCACACAGGUGACAGAGGGACAACAGAGGGAGAUGUGGCACCAGGAUUAGGGGACCAUGGGGGGACCAGAGAGAGAGGGACAGGAUGGGGAUGUGACACCGGGUGUAGGGGACAGUGAGGGGACCAGGGAGAGGGGACACAAGGUGGGGAUGUGACACUGGGUUUAGGGGACAAUUCAGGGACCAGAGGGGUGACAGGAAUUGGGAUGUGGCACCAGGGGAGGGGACAAUUCAGGGACCAGAUGGAGGUGACAGAGAUGGGGACGUGACACUGGGUUUAGGGGACAAUGAGGGACCACGCAGAGGGGACACAAGGUGGAGAUGUGGCACCGGGUGUAGGGGACAAUUCAGGGACCAGAGAGAGGUGACAGAGAGGGACAGGAUGGGGAUGUGGCACUGGGCGUAGGGGACAGUGAGGGGACCAGGGAGAGGUGACAGAGACGGGACGUGGCAGUGGGUGAAGGGGACAAUGAGGGGACGAGGCACAAGGGACAGGAAGGGACAAGAGAGGAAGAUGUGGCACCGGGAUUAGGGGACAAUUCAGGGACCAGAGAGAGGUGACAGAGAGGGACAGACAUAGGGAUGUGACACCGGGUAUCGGGGACAAUUCAGGGACCACGCAGAGGGGACACAAGGUGGGGAUGUGACACUGGCUUUAGGGGACAGUGAGGGGACCAGACAGAGGUGACAGAGAGGGACAGGAUGGGGACGUGGCACUGGCUUCAGGGGACAAUUCAGGGACCAGAGAGAGGUGACAGAGAGGGACAACAGAGGGAGAUGUGGCACCGGGAUGAGGGGACAAUCCAGGGACCACAGAGAGGUGACAGGAUGGGGAUGUGACACCGGGUGUAGGGGACAGUGAGGGGACCAGGGAGAGGUGACAGAGGUGACAGAAAUGGGGAUGUGGCACCGGGAUUAGGGGACAAUCCAGGGACCAGAGAGAGAGGGACAGGAUGGGGACGUGGCACUGGGUUUAAGGGACAAUCCAGGGACCAGAUGGAGGUGACAGAGAUGGGGAUGUGGCACCAGGGGAGGGGACAAUUCAGGGCCCACACAGAGGUGACAGAGGGACAACAGAGGGAGAUGUGGCACUGGGAUUAGGGGACCAUGGGGGGACCAGAGAGAGGUGACAGAGACGGGGAUGUGGCCCCAGGUUCAGGGGACAAUGAGGGGACCUGAUGGAGGUGACAGAGAUGGGGACGUGACACUGGGUUUAAGGGACAGUGAGGGACCACACAGAGGGGACACAAGGUGGAGAUGUGGCACUGGGUGUAGGGGACAAUUCAGGGACCACACAGAGGUGACAGAUGUGACAGAGAUGGGGAUGUGCACUGGGUUUAGGGGACAAUUCAGGGACCAGAGGGGUGACAGGAAUUGGGAUGUGGCACCAGGGGAGGGGACAAUUCAGGGACCAGAUGGAGGUGACAGAGAUGGGGACGUGACACUGGGUUUAGGGGACAAUGAAGGAUCACGCAGAGGGGACACAAGGUGGAGAUGUGGCACCGGGUGUAGGGGACAAUUCAGGGACCACAGAGAGGUGACAGAGAGGGACAGGAUGGGGAUGUGGCACCGGGUGUAGGGGACAGUGAGGGGACCAGGGAGAGGUGACAGAGACGGGACGUGGCAGUGGGUGAAGGGGACAAUGAGGGGACGAGGCACAAGGGACAGGAAGGGACAAGAGAGGGAGAUGUGGCACCGGGAUUAGGGGACAAUUGAGGGACCAGAGAGAGGGGACAGAGAGGGACAGGGUGGGGAUGUGACACCGGGUAUCGGGGACAAUUCAGGGACCACGCAGAGGGGACACAAGGUGGAGAUGUGGCACCGGGUGUAGGGGACAGUGAGGGGACCAGGGGGAGGUGACAGAGAUGAGGAUGUGACACCAGGAUUAGGGGACAAUUCGGGGACCUGAUGGAGGUGACAGAGACAGGGAUGUGGCACCAGGUGUAGGGGACAAUGAGGGGACCAGGCAGAGGUGACAGGAUGGGGAUGUGACACCGGGUAUGGGGGACAAUGAGGGACCACGCAGGUGACAGAGACAGGGACGUGGCACCAGGGGAGGGGACAAUUCAGGGACCACACAGAGGUGACAGAGGGAGAUGUGGCACCGGGAUUAGGGGACCAUGGGGGGACCAGAGAGGGGUGACAGAGACGGGGAUGUGGCCCCAGGUUCAGGGGACAAUGAGGGGACCAGAGAGAGGUGACAAAGAUGGGGACGUGGCACUGGGUUUAGGGGACAAUGAGGGACCACGCAGAGGGGACACAAGGUGGGGAUGUGGCACCGGGUGUAGGGGACAGUGAGGGAAUCACACAGAGGUGACAGAGAAGGGGAUGUCACCUCAGGUGUAGGGGACAAUGAAGGAACCAGACAGGGGUGACAGAGGUGACAGAGAUGAGGAUGUGACACCUGGAUUAGGGGACAAUUUAGGGACCACGCAGAGGGGACACAAGGUGGGGACGUGGCACCAGGGGAGGGGACAACGAGGGGACCAGAGAGAGGGACAGGAUGGGGACGUGGCACUGGGUGUAAAGGGACAAUGAGGGGACCAGACAGAGGUGACAGAGACGGGGACGUGGCCCCAGGGCAGGGGACAGCGAGGAAACCACACAGAGGUGACAAAGGUGACAGGGACAGGGACGUG